CGAACCGACUUACGUUGAAAAGUGAGCGGAUGAACUGAGGGUAGCGGAGAAAUUCCAAUCGAACCUGGAGAUAGCUGGUUCUCUCCGAAAUAGCUUUAGGGCUAGCCUCAAGUGAUGAUUAUUGGAGGUAGAGCACUGUUUGGACGAGGGGCCCCUCUCGGGUUACCGAAUUCAGACAAACUCCGAAUGCCAAUUAAUUUAACUUGGGAGUCAGAACAUGGGUGAUAAGGUCCGUGUUCGAAAGGGAAACAGCCCAGACCACCAGCUAAGGUCCCAAAAUAUAUGUUAAGUGGAAAAGGAUGUGGCGUUGCCCAGACAACUAGGAUGUUGGCUUAGAAGCAGCCAUCAUUUAAAGAGUGCGUAAUAGCUCACUAGUCGAGUGACACUGCGCCGAAAAUGUACCGGGGCUAAACAUAUUACCGAAGCUGUGGAUUGUCCUUUGGACAAUGGUAGGAGAGCGUUCUAAGGGCGUUGAAGCA
RNAcentral lists this ribosomal RNA (479 nucleotides) under Staphylococcus aureus. RNAcentral describes it as "partial 23S ribosomal RNA". It matches the Rfam family "Bacterial large subunit ribosomal RNA", at positions 775 to 1257 of the family's 2925-position model. Lineage: Bacteria; Bacillati; Bacillota; Bacilli; Caryophanales; Staphylococcaceae. The record is from RNAcentral.